This 303-nucleotide ribosomal RNA is filed under the name uncultured bacterium. RNAcentral describes it as "partial 16S ribosomal RNA". It matches the Rfam family "Bacterial small subunit ribosomal RNA", at positions 507 to 809 of the family's 1533-position model. The record is from RNAcentral.
AGCAGUCGCCACGGUAAUACGAAGGGUGCAAGCGUUAAUCGGAAUUACUGGGCGUAAAGCGUGCGUAGGCGGUGAGUUAAGUCUGCUGUGAAAUCCCCGGGCUCAACCUGGGAAUGGCAGUGGAUACUGGCUCGCUAGAGUGUGUCAGAGGAUGGUGGAAUUCCCGGUGUAGCGGUGAAAUGCGUAGAGAUCGGGAGGAACAUCAGUGGCGAAGGCGGCCAUCUGGGACAACACUGACGCUGAGGCACGAAAGCGUGGGGAGCAAACAGGAUUAGAGACCCGAGUAGUCCCUGUCUCUUAUAA